AGACCCGAAACCCGGUGAUCUAGCCAUGGGCAGGUUGAAGGUUGGGUAACACUAACUGGAGGACCGAACCGACUAAUGUUGAAAAAUUAGCGGAUGACCUGUGGCUGGGGGUGAAAGGCCAAUCAAACCGGGAGAUAGCUGGUUCUCCCCGAAAGCUAUUUAGGUAGCGCCUCGUGAAUUCAUCUCCGGGGGUAGAGCACUGUUUCGGCUAGGGGGCCAUCCCGGCUUACCAACCCGAUGCAAACUGCGAAUACCGGAGAAUGUUAUCACGGGAGACACACGGCGGGUGCUAACGUCCGUCGUGAAGAGGGAAACAACCCAGACCGCCAGCUAAGGUCCCAAAGUCAUGGUUAAGUGGGAAACGAUGUGGGAAGGCCCAGACAGCCAGGAUGUUGGCUUAGAAGCAGCCAUCAUUUAAAGAAAGCGUAAUAGCUCACUGGUCGAGUCGGCCUGCGCGGAAGAUGUAACGGGGCUAAACCAUGCACCGAAGCUGCGGCAGCGACGCUGAUGCGUUGUUGGGUAGGGGAGCGUUCUGUAAGCCUGUGAAGGUGUGCUGUGAGGCAUGCUGGAGGUAUCAGAAGUGCGAAUGCUGACAUAAGUAACGAUAAAGCGGGUGAAAAGCCCGCUCGCCGGAAGACCAAGGGUUCCUGUCCAACGUUAAUCGGGGCAGGGUGAGUCGACCCCUAAGGCGAGGCCGAAAGGCGUAGUCGAUGGGAAACAGGUUAAUAUUCCUGUACUUGGUGUUACUGCGAAGGGGGGACGGAGAAGGCUAUGUUGGCCGGGCGACGGUUGUCCCGGUUUAAGCGUGUAGGUGUGUGUUCCAGGUAAAUCCGGUUCACUUUAACACUGAGGCGUGAUGACGAGGCACUACGGUGCUGAAGCAACAAAUGCCCUGCUUCCAGGAAAAGCCUCUAAGCAUCAGGUAACAUCAAAUCGUACCCCAAACCGACACAGGUGGUCAGGUAGAGAAUACCAAGGCGCUUGAGAGAACUCGGGUGAAGGAACUAGGCAAAAUGGUGCCGUAACUUCGGGAGAAGGCACGCUGACACGUAGGUGAAGUGAUUUACUCACGGAGCUGAAGUCAGUCGAAGAUACCAGCUGGCUGCAACUGUUUAUUAAAAACACAGCACUGUGCAAACACGAAAGUGGACGUAUACGGUGUGACGCCUGCCCGGUGCCGGAAGGUUAAUUGAUGGGGUCAGCGCAAGCGAAGCUCCUGAUCGAAGCCCCGGUAAACGGCGGCCGUAACUAUAACGGUCCUAAGGUAGCGAAAUUCCUUGUCGGGUAAGUUCCGACCUGCACGAAUGGCGUAAUGAUGGCCAGGCUGUCUCCACCCGAGACUCAGUGAAAUUGAACUCGCUGUGAAGAUGCAGUGUACCCGCGGCAAGACGGAAAGACCCCGUGAACCUUUACUAUAGCUUGACACUGAACAUUGAGCCUUGAUGUGUAGGAUAGGUGGGAGGCUUUGAAGCGUGGACGCCAGUCUGCGUGGAGCCGACCUUGAAAUACCACCCUUUAAUGUUU
This 1524-nucleotide ribosomal RNA is filed under the name Salmonella enterica. RNAcentral describes it as "partial 23S ribosomal RNA". It matches the Rfam family "Bacterial large subunit ribosomal RNA", at positions 711 to 2215 of the family's 2925-position model. RNAcentral also lists the same sequence under 2 other names. The record is from RNAcentral. Lineage: Bacteria; Pseudomonadati; Pseudomonadota; Gammaproteobacteria; Enterobacterales; Enterobacteriaceae.